CAAAACUUUUAACAACGGAUCUCUUGGCUCCAGCAUCGAUGAAGAACGCAGCGAAACGCGAUAUGUAAUGUGAAUUGCAGAAUUCAGUGAAUCAUCGAAUCUUUGAACGCACAUGGCGCCUUCCAGUAUCCUGGGAGGCAUGCCUGUCCGAGCGUCGUUU
This 160-nucleotide ribosomal RNA is filed under the name Plectosphaerella cucumerina. RNAcentral describes it as "5.8S ribosomal RNA". It matches the Rfam family "5.8S ribosomal RNA". From Rfam's summary of the family: 5.8S ribosomal RNA (5.8S rRNA) is a component of the large subunit of the eukaryotic ribosome. It is transcribed by RNA polymerase I as part of the 45S precursor that also contains 18S and 28S rRNA. The record is from RNAcentral. Lineage: Eukaryota; Fungi; Ascomycota; Sordariomycetes; Glomerellales; Plectosphaerellaceae.